Molecule: unclassified non-coding RNA, 417 nt
Filed under: uncultured Basidiomycota
Lineage: Eukaryota; Fungi; Basidiomycota
Description: sequence contains ITS2
Rfam family: 5.8S ribosomal RNA (bases 1-155)
Source: RNAcentral
AACUUUCAACAAUGGAUCUCUUGGCUCUUGCAACGAUGAAGAACGCAGUGAAAUGCGAAAACUAAUGUGAAUUGCAUAACUUUAUGAAUCAUCGAGUCUUUGAACGCACAUGGCACUCUCUAGGUCUUCUAGGGAGUAUACCUGUUUGAGAAUCAUAAAUAUAUACUAGACUUGGUUGGAGUCUGACUUGAGGUUGUCACUGCUAGUUCGGUGUGCCUCUAAACAUGGAGGGACUAGGCUGUUAGCCUGGUAGACGUUGUGUGAUGCGAGGAAGUAUCCUCAAAGCGCAACGUGUCUAUCAGUGCGAGUCGGUCGCUCAUAGUUCCUAUACAUACACACUUGUUGUAUAUUUUUGAAUGUGAUCUCAAAUCAGGCAAGACUACCCGCUGAACUUAAGCAUAUCAAUAAGCGGAGGCU